CGCGCAGGUGGUUCCUUAAGUCUGAUGUGAAAGCCCACGGCUCAACCGUGGAGGGUCAUUGGAAACUGGGGGACUUGAGUGCAGAAGAGGAAAGUGGAAUUCCAAGUGUAGCGGUGAAAUGCGUAGAGAUUUGGAGGACCACUAGUGGCGAAGGCGACUUUCUGGUCUGUAACUGACACUGAGGCGCGAAAGCGUGGGGAGCAAACA
This 207-nucleotide ribosomal RNA is filed under the name uncultured bacterium. RNAcentral describes it as "partial 16S ribosomal RNA". It matches the Rfam family "Bacterial small subunit ribosomal RNA", at positions 568 to 774 of the family's 1533-position model. The record is from RNAcentral.